GGAACUAUGGCUCAGAGGUAGAGUAUCUGUUUUGCCUGCAUAAGGUCCUAGGUUUAAUCCCAGGCAUCACCA
RNAcentral lists this transfer RNA (72 nucleotides) under Sphaerodactylus townsendi. RNAcentral describes it as "tRNA-Ala". Lineage: Eukaryota; Metazoa; Chordata; Lepidosauria; Squamata; Sphaerodactylidae. The record is from RNAcentral.